GGGGGAAACGCCCGGUCCCAUUCCGAACCCGGAAGCUAAGACCCACAGCGCCGAUGGUACUGCACCCGGGAGGGUGUGGGAGAGUAGGUCACCGCCGGAA
RNAcentral lists this ribosomal RNA (100 nucleotides) under Arthrobacter sp. EPSL27. The record is from RNAcentral. Lineage: Bacteria; Bacillati; Actinomycetota; Actinomycetes; Micrococcales; Micrococcaceae.